Molecule: transfer RNA, 73 nt
Filed under: Acropora cervicornis
Lineage: Eukaryota; Metazoa; Cnidaria; Anthozoa; Scleractinia; Acroporidae
Description: tRNA-Ala
Rfam family: tRNA
About the family: Transfer RNA (tRNA) molecules are approximately 80 nucleotides in length.
Source: RNAcentral
GGUCUGAUAACUCAACUGGUAGGGCUCUGCUCUAGCAUUGCAGAAGUCAGGGUUCAAAUCCCUGUUCAGGCCU